CGGCAGGCCUAACACAUGCAAGUCGAGCGGUAGCACAGAGAGCUUGCUCUCGGGUGACGAGCGGCGGACGGGUGAGUAAUGUCUGGGAAACUGCCUGAUGGAGGGGGAUAACUACUGGAAACGGUAGCUAAUACCGCAUAACGUCGCAAGACCAAAGUGGGGGACCUUCGGGCCUCAUGCCAUCAGAUGUGCCCAGAUGGGAUUAGCUAGUAGGUGGGGUAACGGCUCACCUAGGCGACGAUCCCUAGCUGGUCUGAGAGGAUGACCAGCCACACUGGAACUGAGACACGGUCCAGACUCCUACGGGAGGCAGCAGUGGGGAAUAUUGCACAAUGGGCGCAAGCCUGAUGCAGCCAUGCCGCGUGUGUGAAGAAGGCCUUCGGGUUGUAAAGCACUUUCAGCGGGGAGGAAGGCGUUAAGGUUAAUAACCUUGGCGAUUGACGUUACCCGCAGAAGAAGCACCGGCUAACUCCGUGCCAACAGCCGCGGUAAUACGGAGGGUGCAAGCGUUAAUCGGAAUUACUGGGCGUAAAGCGCACGCAGGCGGUCUGUCAAGUCGGAUGUGAAAUCCCCGGGCUCAACCUGGGAACUGCAUUCGAAACUGGCAGGCUAGAGUCUUGUAGAGGGGGGUAGAAUUCCAGGUGUAGCGGUGAAAUGCGUAGAGAUCUGGAGGAAUACCGGUGGCGAAGGCGGCCCCCCUGGACAAAGACUGACGCUCAGGUGCGAAAGCGUGGGGAGCAAACAGGAUUAGAUACCCUGGUAGUCCACGCCGCAAACGAUGUCGAUUUGGAGGUUGUGCCCUUGAGGCGUGGCUUCCGGAGCUAACGCGUUAAAUCGACCGCCUGGGGAGUACGGCCGCAAGGUUAAAACUCAAAUGAAUUGACGGGGGCCCGCACAAGCGGUGGAGCAUGUGGUUUAAUUCGAUGCAACGCGAAGAACCUUACCUGGUCUUGACAUCCACAGAACUUUCCAGAGAUGGAUUGGUGCCUUCGGGAACUGUGAGACAGGUGCUGCAUGGCUGUCGUCAGCUCGUGUUGUGAAAUGUUGGGUUAAGUCCCGCAACGAGCGCAACCCUUAUCCUUUGUUGCCAGCGGUUCGGCCGGGAACUCAAAGGAGACUGCCAGUGAUAAACUGGAGGAAGGUGGGGAUGACGUCAAGUCAUCAUGGCCCUUACGACCAGGGCUACACACGUGCUACAAUGGCAUAUACAAAGAGAAGCGACCUCGCGAGAGCAAGCGGACCUCAUAAAGUAUGUCGUAGUCCGGAUUGGAGUCUGCAACUCGACUCCAUGAAGUCGGAAUCGCUAGUAAUCGUAGAUCAGAAUGCUACGGUGAAUACGUUCCCGGGCCUUGUACACACCGCCCGUCACACCAUGGGAGUGGGUUGCAAAAGAAGUAGGUAGCUUAACCUUCGGGAGGGCGCUUACCACUUUGUGAUUCAUGACUGGGGUGAAG
Molecule: ribosomal RNA, 1454 nt
Filed under: uncultured organism
Description: 16S ribosomal RNA
Rfam family: Bacterial small subunit ribosomal RNA
Source: RNAcentral